GAGGCUGCCCCUGACCGCGCGGCCAUCCACCCGACCUCUGCGCCGGCCGCGCCAGGCCACGCCUGCCCGGGUCGGGUCUGCCCCUGGCCGCGCGCCCGUCCACCCGGCCUCCGCGCCGCGCCGCGCCCCAGGACACAGACUCCGCCCGGCCGUGUGUCGUGCCGCACCGCGUGCCCGUCCGUCGCCCGCGGCGCACCGGCGUCUUCUAGCGCUCCGGCAGCACGAAUACGUGCAACAGUGCCCUCCCAUCGGCAGCGAACGGUGGUGCGUAGCACGACGGCGUGAGCCAAAACGAAUCAUUAGAUUCGUAACCGCACAUGGAAAUUGGAAAGGCCAUGGAGCCUUAUCCCUUCGCGAUUAUACACUUUAGCCCAUGCGGCUUUACCUAUUUUCAUAAUAGGCUGUGUGUAUAAAUCUUGGAGUAAUUCUUGUACGUCUCAGGAUAACUCAACAUGGUUCAACAACUCAUGCUAUUCAUUAGCACUUGUCAUCUUUAUUAGACCAUGUAUGUAUAGAUAUGCAUUUCAACCCAUUUUCUAUUGAGUUUUACAAUUCCAGAAAUAUGUGUAUAUUUAUAUUUGACAUGUUCAAUGUGUUUACCACAUUAUCUAGAACAUGUUUUGGUGAUUGAGAUUAAAUUUUCUCGCACAACAAUAUCGAUU
RNAcentral lists this ribosomal RNA (662 nucleotides) under Triticum aestivum (bread wheat). RNAcentral describes it as "partial small subunit ribosomal RNA". The record is from RNAcentral. Lineage: Eukaryota; Viridiplantae; Streptophyta; Magnoliopsida; Poales; Poaceae.